RNAcentral lists this transfer RNA (74 nucleotides) under Brassica oleracea var. oleracea. It matches the Rfam family "tRNA". Rfam says of the family: Transfer RNA (tRNA) molecules are approximately 80 nucleotides in length. Their secondary structure includes four short double-helical elements and three loops (D, anti-codon, and T loops). Lineage: Eukaryota; Viridiplantae; Streptophyta; Magnoliopsida; Brassicales; Brassicaceae. The record is from Rfam by way of RNAcentral.
GCUGGAAUAGCUCAGUUGGUUAGAGCGUGUGGCUGUUAACCACAAGGUCGGUGAUUCGACCCCUCCUUCUAGCG